GGAUUGCAGUCUGCAACUCGACUGCAUGAAGCUGGAAUCGCUAGUAAUCGCGAAUCAGAAUGUCGCGGUGAAUACGUUCCCGGGCCUUGUACACACCGCCCGUCACACCAUGGGAGUUGGAAGCACCCGAAGUCGGUGACCUGACCGGAAGGGAGGAGCCGCCGAAGGUGAAGCCAGCGACUGGGGUGAAGUCGUAACAAGGUACC
Molecule: ribosomal RNA, 206 nt
Filed under: uncultured bacterium
Lineage: Bacteria
Description: partial 16S ribosomal RNA
Rfam family: Bacterial small subunit ribosomal RNA
Source: RNAcentral